GUCGUCUAAUGGGGAUCCCAAUAAAAAUCUAAAAUCAUCCAGCCCACUGGCAGCUGCCUGGGCUACUACAGCAAAGCCUGUUGGGGAAAGAAGCGCACCAAGGGGAUGAACAGUCUAAAGCUCCUCCAAGCUGGACGGCAAACAAACACACAGAAAAAGGAGAAACAGACAGACGCCACGCUGAGCAAAUAGACCGCUAUCAGAACACACCGAGAGUGCGAGACGAGAGAGAGAGGAAUGAGACAGAAGGGGACCACAACCUCAUCCACCUCCACCCAUGUUGCCGACUGCAUGACAACACCAAGCACCCGAGGGACACAAUGACGACAUCCCCUGCUGCCUCCACUGCAGCAUAUUCAUUCCAGCACCACCAACUUGGCCUCAAAGACUUGGACCCAGGCCCCCAAGCCAGCUCCGGCCCUGUCUUCUCUCCCACGGCUUGGUAUCCAUUUCCAUCUGAGACAAAUACUAUCCCUGUCCGGCUAUUCCGCUGACCAAUUCUCAGGACACUCCUUCUGGGGUCUAAGGAUGGCAGGGAUGAGCUGUAUACCAGGUCUUCCAUUCAUAUUGGCAGUAGCCCUGGCACACAGGCACAUGGUGGGUAGCCCUGGUAGCACCCAGGGUGGAUUAACAUGUUAAGAUGGUUGCUACGGAGGGGGCGAGGUUCUGAGGUUGUUUUAGAGCCAUUCAAUGUAAUAGAGGUAUUCCAUACAAUACAAAGUACAAAAUAACACUAUCUGUUGGUCAGAGCAACUCUGUCAAUUUUGGGAAAACCAAUACUGCGUUGGAGGGGAAAUCUGGAGCAGUCUUAAGGAUCGGACCCAUUUUUAAAAUGUUCUGCUAAAAUGACAUGCCCAAAUCUUACUGCCUGUAGCUCAGGCCCUGAAGCAAGGAUAUGCAUAUUCUUGAUACCAUUUGAAAGGAAGCAUUUUGAAGUUUGUGGAAAUGUGAAAUUAAUGUAGGAGAAUAUAACACAUUAGAUCUGGUAAAAGAUAAAACAUAGACUUCAUUUUUUUCCAUCUUUGUAAUGCAAGAGAAAGGUCAUGACGUACUAUUCCAGCUUAGGUGCAAUUUUGGUUUUGACCACUAGAUGGGAGCAGUGUGUGAAAUGUUUUAGACUGAUCAAAUGAACCAUUGCAUUUCUGUUCAAAAUGUUGUAUCAAGACUGCCCAAAUGUGCCUAAUUGGUUUAUUAAUACAUUUAAGUUAAUAACUAUGCACUCUCCACAAACAAUAGCAUUUUAUUAUUUCACUGUAAUAGCUACUGUAAAUUGGACAGUGCCGUUAGAUUAACAAGAAUUUAAGCUUUCUGCCCAUAUCAGAUAUGUCUGUCCUGGGAUUUUUUUAAAUCACAUUAGCUCAACCACCCCGCGUGGUGGGGCAAUGAUCCUGAAACCAAUGCAUUCCCUAUCUGGAUAUGGAAUGACUCUGAUGUCAAACUCUUAUACGAAGUUGCUGGGCAUGACUCACUGGGGCAUUUCUAGAGGAGCUGAACUCAAAUCGUAAAUGGCUAAUUUACCGAGAUAAGAACAGUGCAAAUAGCAGAACAUUUUAUCCAAAUGCCUUAACUGGAGGGAGACUGAAUUGAUCAUGAAAUUUGAACUGGUUUCACUUAUCAAUCUGGCUGGUCAGAUGUUUAAAACAGUCUCAAAAUAAAUAAUGUCCUACUCACUGUUGGAUUAAAUCCUGCUAUAUUUUACAAGCUAGAAUAUUUAGGACACAACAGUACGUUUGCUUCUGUUGUGAGUGAUGGAAAAAAUACAAAUAAGAUGGAUAUCCGGUUUACAAUAGCUACAGUGCCUUGCAAAAGUUUUCAUCCCCCUUGGCGUUUUUCCUAUUUUGCUGCAUUACAACCUGUAAUUUAAAUAGAUUAUUAGAAUUUCAUGUAAUAGACAAAAUAGUCCAAAUUGGUGAAGCAAACUUUAAAAAAUAACUUGUUUAAAAAAAAAAUGUAAAUUGGUGCAUGCAUAUGUAUUCACCCCUUUGCUAUGAAGCCCCUACAUACGAUCUGGUGCAACCAAUUAACUUCAGAAGUCACAUAGGUUGUGACAUAGUCCACCUGUGUGCAAUCUGUGUCACAUGAUCUGUCACAUGAUCUUAGUAUAGAUACACAACUGUUCUGAAAGGCCCCAGAGUCUGCAACACCACUAAGCAAGGGGCACCACCAAGCAAGCAGCACCAUGAAGACCAAGGAGAUCUCCAAACAGGUCAGGGACAAAGUUGUGGAGAAGUACAGAUCAGGGCUGGGUUAUAAAAAAAUAUCUUAAACUUUGAACAUCCCACAGAGCACCAUCCAUUAUUAAAAAAUGGAAAGAAUAUAGCAGAUAAAAGCCAUUGCUUAAAGAAAAAAUAAGCAAACACAUUUGGUGUUCGCCAAAAGGCAUGUGGGAGACUUCCCAAACAUAUGGAAGAAGGUACUCUGGUCAGAUGAGACUAAAACUGAGCUUUUUGGCCAUCAAGGAAAACGCUAUGUCUGGCGCAAACCCAACACCUCUCAUCAACCCGAGAACACCAUCCCCACAGUGAAGCAUGGUGGUGGCAGCAUCAUGCUGUGGGGAUGUUUUUCAUCGGCAGGGACUGGGAAACUGGUAAGAAUAGAAGGAAUGAUGGACGGCGCUAAAUACAUGGAAAUUAUUGAGGGAAACCUGUUAGUCUUCCAGAGAUUUGAGUCUGGGACGGAGGUUCACCUUCCAGCAGAACAAUGACCCUAACGAUUCAGGUAAAGCAACACUAGAGUGGUUUAAGGGUAAACAUUUAAAUGUCUUGGAAUGGCCUAGUCAAAGCCCAGACCUCAAUCCAAUUGAGAAUCUGUGGUAUGACAAAGUUUGCUGUACACCAGCGGAACCCAUCCAACUGGAAGGAGCUGGAGCAGUUUUGCCUUGAAGAAUGAGCAAAAAUCCCAGUGGCUAGAUGUGCCAAGCUUAUAGAGACAUACCCCAAGAGACUUGAAGCUGUAAUUGUUGCAAAAGGUGGCUCUACAAAGUAUUGACUUUGGGGAGUGAAUAGUUAUGCACGCUCAAGUUUUCAGUUUUUUUGUCUUAUUUUUUGUCUGUUUCACAA
Molecule: long non-coding RNA, 3059 nt
Organism: Salmo trutta (river trout)
Lineage: Eukaryota; Metazoa; Chordata; Actinopteri; Salmoniformes; Salmonidae
Source: Ensembl